Molecule: ribosomal RNA, 490 nt
Filed under: uncultured bacterium
Lineage: Bacteria
Description: partial 16S ribosomal RNA
Rfam family: Bacterial small subunit ribosomal RNA
Source: RNAcentral
AUUGAACGCUGGCGGCAUGCCUUACACAUGCAAGUCGAACGGCAGCAUGAUCUAGCUUGCUCGAUUGAUGGCGAGUGGCGAACGGGUGAGUAAUACAUCGGAACGUGCCCUGUAGUGGGGGAUAACUAGUCGAAAGAUUAGCUAAUACCGCAUACGACCUGAGGGUGAAAGUGGGGGACCGCAAGGCCUCAUGCUAUAGGAGCGGCCGAUGUCUGAUUAGCUAGUUGGUGAGGUAAAGGCUCACCAAGGCGACGAUCAGUAGCUGGUCUGAGAGGACGAUCAGCCACACUGGGACUGAGACACGGCCCAGACUCCUACGGGAGGCAGCAGUGGGGAAUUUUGGACAAUGGGCGAAAGCCUGGUCCAGCAAUGCCGCGUGUGUGAAGAAGGCCUUCGGGUUGUAAAGCACUUUUGUCCGGAAAGAAAUGGCUCUGGUUAAUACCUGGGGUCGAUGACGGUACCGGAAGAAUAAGGACCGGCUAACUACGUG